This 252-nucleotide ribosomal RNA is filed under the name uncultured prokaryote. RNAcentral's name for it is "partial 16S ribosomal RNA". It matches the Rfam family "Bacterial small subunit ribosomal RNA", at positions 524 to 775 of the family's 1533-position model. The record is from RNAcentral.
UACGGAGGGUGCGAGCGUUGUCCGGAAUCAUUGGGCGUAAAGGGCGCGUAGGUGGCGCAGCAAGCGUGCGGUGAAAGCUCGGGGCUCAACCCCGAGUCGGCCGUGCGAACUGCUGGGCUCGAACACUGUAGAGGCAGGCGGAAUUCCGGGUGUAGCGGUGGAAUGCGUAGAGAUCCGGAAGAACACCGGUGGCGAAGGCGGCCUGCUGGGCAGUUGCUGACACUGAGGCGCGACAGCGUGGGGAGCAAACAG